UGAGUAACGGCGAGCGAAAGGGAAAGUCCAGCGCACAAUCCCGCGUCCUCGUGGCGCCGGGAAAUGUUGCGUUUGGGAGCGAGCGUGUCGGAGGUCGGCUCUGCAGCAAGUCCCCCUGACCGGGGCUCUUUCCCAGAGUGGGUGCGAGGCCCAUAGCUGCUAGGCCGCUUCCGCGUGCGAACUCCUCGGAGUCGGGUUGUUUGGGAGUGCAGCCCUAAUCAGGUGGUAAACUCCAUCUAAGACUAAAUACCGCCGUGAGACCGAUAGCAAACAAGUACCGUGAGGGAAAGUUGCAAAGAACUUUGAAGAGAGAGUUCAAAAGUACGUGAAACUGCUCAGAGGAAAAGGGGUGGGCCCUCGAAAUCCUGUGGCGGGAGGAUUCAGUCGAGAGGUCCGGAGGCCUUGCCGGGACGUUAUCAGAGUGGAACCCGUGACGGGCCUUCUCGGCUCGGCUCUUUCGGACCGACAGACGCAUUUCUUUCCCGCACGAAGGACGCCGCGACCGGUUGGCGGAGCGGCUUUAAGGGCGGGAGACGGCAGUUGGCCGGUGGUCCGCCCCUGUGGGCCGCCGGUUGUUAGCUUUCCCGUCGCACGGCCGCACCCCGACCGUGGUUGCGAGGCCCUCAUGGGCCUCUUCGCCUCCUCCUAGUGUAGCGAGUGGACGCGGCAGGUGAGGCUCGGAGGCUGCGGGCGCAUGGCACUGACUCCAUGGCCCGGCGGCGCCGAGUACCCCGCUGGCUGCGUCGAGGCU
This 751-nucleotide ribosomal RNA is filed under the name Meta menardi. RNAcentral describes it as "eukaryotic LSU rRNA". It matches the Rfam family "Eukaryotic large subunit ribosomal RNA", at positions 80 to 607 of the family's 3401-position model. The record is from RNAcentral. Lineage: Eukaryota; Metazoa; Arthropoda; Arachnida; Araneae; Tetragnathidae.